Molecule: ribosomal RNA, 301 nt
Filed under: uncultured bacterium
Lineage: Bacteria
Description: partial 16S ribosomal RNA
Rfam family: Bacterial small subunit ribosomal RNA
Source: RNAcentral
CAGCCGCCGCGGUAAUACGUAGGGUGCAAGCGUUAAUCGGAAUUACUGGGCGUAAAGCGUGCGCAGGCGGUUUGUUAAGACAGAUGUGAAAUCCCCGGGCUCAACCUGGGAACUGCAUUUGUGACUGGCAAGCUAGAGUCUGGCAGAGGGGGGUGGAAUUCCGCGUGUAGCAGUGAAAUGCGUAGAUAUGCGGAGGAACACCGAUGGCGAAGGCAGCCCCCUGGGCCAACACUGACGCUCAUGCACGAAAGCGUGGGGAGCAAACAGGAUUAGAUACCCGGGUAGUCCCUGUCUCUUAUAU